GCGAGGGGGAGACUGAGAGCCAGUCCCUCCCACCCCCGGCUCUUAGGACUCGCAUCGCAAGCGGGGGAGGCACGCCACGCGAGGCGGGGACUGAGAGCCAGCCCCCCUUCCCCCCGGGCUUAGGACCCCCAUCGCGGUUCCUAAGAUCCUUAGGACCCACCUGGAGGACUGUGGGUAUGGGGUGUCCAAGAAGAAAGCUCAGAUCUGCCCACGGCAGGUACCUUACUUGGGAUUUACAAUCGACAGGGGUCCGAACGCAGCCCGGGAAAAGAAAGAAAGCAGGAUCCCCAUCGCAAGGGGGGAAGACACCGCCCACGAGUCGGGGACUGAGAGCCAGCCCCUCUUCCCCCGCUGGCUUAGGACCCCCACCGCGGAUUCUAAGAUCCUUAGCACCCACCUGGAGGACUGUGGGUUUUAGGUGUCCAAGAAGAAAGCUCAGACCUGCCGACCGCAGGACCCCCAUCGCGGAUCCUAAGAUCCUUAGGACCCACCUGGAGGACUGUGGGUAUUAGGUGCCCAAGAAGAAAGCUCAAAUCUGCCGACGUUACUUUAGAUUUACUAUCCGACAGGGGUCCGAACACAGCUCGGGAUCAGAAAGAAAGCAGGACCCCCAUCGCGGAUCCUAAGAUCCUUAGGACCCAACUGGAGGACUGUGGGUAUUAGGUGCCCAAGAAGAAAGCUCAGAUCUGCCGACGUUACUUGGGAUUUACUAUCCGACAGGUGUCCGAACACAGCUCGAGAUCAGAAAGAAAGCAGGGGUCCGAACGCAGCCCGGGAUCAGGAAGAAAGCAGGUCGUUUGCAAUCUACCGGAGCCUAAGGGCAGAAGGCAGGAUCGUGGGAACAAUAUCCCAGGGGGGUUUCCACUUUCUGCCAUAUAUGUAGUCACAUCGCCCACUCCGCCUUGGAAUAUUAUUAAGGACCAUCUAACACGAGGGUGUAUACGUCCUGCGAUAUUACGAGUAAUAUCAACUUCUUGGCCUCUGAAUAUGAGGAAGAAUAUCACAGGGGGUCCGAAUGCAGCCCGGGAUCACAAAGAAAGCAGGUCGUUUGCAAUCUACCAGAGCCUAAGGGCAGAAGGCAGGAUCGUGGGAACAAUAUCCCAUGGGGGUGUACCCUUUCUGCCAUAUAUGUAGUCACAUCACCCACUCCGCCUUGGAAUAUUAUUAAGGACCAUCUAACACGAGGGUGUAUACGUCCUGUGAUAUUGGGAGUAAUAUCAACUUCUCGGCCUCUGAAUAUGAGGAAGAAUAUCACAGGGAUAUUAAUAACAAUUUCACAGGCUGGGUGAACACAGCCGGCGAUGCUGAAAUUAUUAUCAUCCUCUCCCCCUCUUCCCCUCCUGGCUCUCAGUCCCCGCCUCACGGGUUAUGUAGCGGGUUAUGGCAAGAAGACAAACUGCAGUUUCCUGCACAGAACAGCACAAACAAUGAUCCAAGCUCAGUUACAACACAAUAUUGGUCAUCAUUUGACCAUGGACUUCAAUAUCAACCCUUAGAAACCUUCCUAAAACAGGUCAGCAAAACACCAAGAAGCAAUAUCCUGAAUGAUAGGAAAAUAUCCUUGCUUGUGCAAAUUGUUUCCACUUAAUUUUUUUCAACAAAUGUUAAUUAUAUUUUUACUUUCUAAAAAUUUUUAAUAAAAUAUAGCCUACUUGGUUAAAAAUGGUGUCAAAGCUUUUCUAAAAGUUAAGGCAUUACAUAAUUCAGUGGCCCCUGUGGCUGCCAUGGAUAAUUCUUU
Long non-coding RNA from Homo sapiens (human), 1738 nucleotides. RefSeq lists it as uncharacterized. NCBI's taxonomy places the organism in Eukaryota, Metazoa, Chordata, Mammalia, Primates, Hominidae. The transcript has 9 exons. The record is from RefSeq and is a predicted model, not a curated record.